RNAcentral lists this ribosomal RNA (798 nucleotides) under uncultured Glomus. Its description in RNAcentral is "SSU rRNA". It matches the Rfam family "Eukaryotic small subunit ribosomal RNA", at positions 314 to 1114 of the family's 1831-position model. The record is from RNAcentral. Lineage: Eukaryota; Fungi; Glomeromycota; Glomeromycetes; Glomerales; Glomeraceae.
AUCAACUUUCGAUGGUAGGAUAGAGGCCUACCAUGGUGGUAACGGGUAACGGGGUGUUAGGGCACGACACCGGAGAGGGAGCCUGAGAAACGGCUACCACAUCCAAGGUUGGCAGCAGGCGCGCAAAUUACCCAAUCCCGACACGGGGAGGUAGUGACAAUAAAUAACAAUACGGGGUUCUUUCGGAUCUCGUAAUUGGAAUGAGUACAAUUUAAAUCUCUUAACGAGGAACAAUUGGAGGGCAAGUCUGGUGCCAGCAGCCGCGGUAAUUCCAGCUCCAAUAGCGUAUAUUAAAGUUGUUGCAGUUAAAAAGCUCGUAGUUGAAUUUCGGGAUCAAUAUGUUGGUCGUGCCUUGGUACGUACUGGCGUCAUUGGUUUCUACCUUCUGAAGAACCUCGAUGUCAUUAAUUUGGUGUCUUGGGGAAUCAGGACUGUUACUUUGAAAAAAUUAGAGUGUUUAAAGCAGGCUCACGCUUGAAUACAUUAGCAUGGAAUAAUGAAAUAGGACGUUUGAUUCUAUUUUGUUAGUUUCUAGGAUCGACGUAAUGAUUAAUAGGGAUAGUUGGGGGCAUUAGUAUUCAAUUGUCAGAGGUGAAAUUCUUGGAUUUAUUGAAGACUAACUACUGCGAAAGCAUUUGCCAAGGAUGUUUUCAUUAAUCAAGAACGAAAGUUAGGGGAUCGAAGACGAUCAGAUACCGUCGUAGUCUUAACCAUAAACUAUGCCGACUAGGGAUCGGAUGAUGUUAAUUUUUUAAUGACUCAUUCGGCGCCUUACGGGAAACCAAAGUGUUUGGGUUC